UGGGGAAUUUUGCACAAUGGGCGAAAGCCUGAUGCAGCAACGCCGCGUGCGGGAUGAAGGCCCUCGGGCUGUAAACCGCUUUCAGCAGGGACGAAUAUGACGGUACCUGCAGAAGAAGCCCCGGCUAACUACGUGCCAGCAGCCGCGGUAAUACGGAGGGGGCAAGCGUUAUCCGGAUUCAUUGGGCGUAAAGAGCGCGUAGGCGGACUGUUAAGUCAGAUGUGAAAACCGGGGGCUCAACCCGCGGCCUGCAUCUGAAACUGGCAGUCUUGAGUCUGGUAGAGGAAAGUGGAAUUCCUGGUGUAGCGGUGAAAUGCGCAGAUAUCAGGAGGAACACCAGUGGCGAAGGCGGCUUUCUGGGCCACGACUGACGCUGAGGCGCGAAAGCGAGGGGAGCGAACAG
RNAcentral lists this ribosomal RNA (403 nucleotides) under uncultured bacterium. RNAcentral describes it as "bacterial SSU rRNA". It matches the Rfam family "Bacterial small subunit ribosomal RNA", at positions 355 to 775 of the family's 1533-position model. The record is from RNAcentral.